CAAGCGGUGGAGUAUGUGGUUUAAUUCGAUGCAACGCGAAGAACCUUACCUGGUCUUGACGAUCCCGGAGACCCUUAGGAAACUAGGGGGUGCUUCCAUCUGGAAGAAUCUGGAGACAGGUGCUGCAUGGCUGUCGUCAGCUCGUGUCGUGAGAUGUUGGGUUAAGUCCCGCAACGAGCGCAACCCUUGCCUUUAGUUGCCAGCAGUUCGGCUGGGCACUCUAAAGGGACUGCCGGUGUUAAACCGGAGGAAGGUGGGGAUGACGUCAAGUCCUCAUGGCCUUUAUGACCAGGGCUACACACGUACUACAAUGGCCGAUACAAAGGGCAGCGACACUGCGAGGUGAAGCCAAUCCCGUAAAAUCGGUCUCAGUCCGGAUUGGAGUCUGCAACUCGACUCCAUGAAGUUGGAAUCGCUAGUAAUCGUGGAUCAGCAUGCCACGGUGAAUACGUUCCCGGGCCUU
RNAcentral lists this ribosomal RNA (463 nucleotides) under uncultured Desulfobulbus sp. RNAcentral's name for it is "bacterial SSU rRNA". It matches the Rfam family "Bacterial small subunit ribosomal RNA", at positions 926 to 1382 of the family's 1533-position model. The record is from RNAcentral. Lineage: Bacteria; Pseudomonadati; Thermodesulfobacteriota; Desulfobulbia; Desulfobulbales; Desulfobulbaceae.